This is a small nuclear RNA of Echinops telfairi (small Madagascar hedgehog), 163 nucleotides long. Its record names the gene U1. It matches the Rfam family "U1 spliceosomal RNA". Rfam says of the family: U1 is a small nuclear RNA (snRNA) component of the spliceosome (involved in pre-mRNA splicing). Its 5' end forms complementary base pairs with the 5' splice junction, thus defining the 5' donor site of an intron. There are significant differences in sequence and secondary structure between metazoan and yeast U1 snRNAs, the latter being much longer (568 nucleotides as compared to 164 nucleotides in human). NCBI's taxonomy places the organism in Eukaryota, Metazoa, Chordata, Mammalia, Afrosoricida, Tenrecidae. The record is from Ensembl.
AUACUUGCCUGGCAGGGGAGCUACCAUGAUCAUGAAGGUGGUUUUCCCAGGGCGAGGCUCACCCAUUGCACUCUGGAUGUGCUGACCCCUGCGAUUUCCCAAACAUGGGAAACUCAACUGCAUAAUUUGUGGUAGUGGGGGACUGCGUUUGUGCUCUCCCCUA